RNAcentral lists this ribosomal RNA (440 nucleotides) under uncultured bacterium. RNAcentral describes it as "partial 16S ribosomal RNA". It matches the Rfam family "Bacterial small subunit ribosomal RNA", at positions 338 to 795 of the family's 1533-position model. The record is from RNAcentral.
CCUACGGGAGGCUGCAGUGGGGAAUAUUGCACAAUGGGGGAAACCCUGAUGCAGCGAUGCCGCGUGGGUGAAGAAGCAUUUCGGUACGUAAAGCUCUAUCAGCAGGAAAGAAAAUGACGGUACCUGACUAAGAAGCCCCGGCUAACUACGUGCCAGCAGCCGCGGUAAUACGUAGGGGGCAAGCGUUAUCCGGAUUUACUGGGUGUAAAGGGAGCGCAGGCGGCAGGGCAAGUCUGAAGUGAAAUCCCAGGGCCCAACCCCGGGACUGCAUUUGAAACUGUCAGACUGGAGUGCCGGAGAGGUAAGUGGAAUUCCUAGUGUAGCGGUGAAAUGCGUAGAUAUCAGGAGGAACACCAGCGGCGAAGGCGGCUUACUGGACGGUAACUGACGUUGAGGCUCGAAAGCGUGGGGAGCAAACAGGAUUAGAUACCCGAGUAGUC